RNAcentral lists this unclassified non-coding RNA (772 nucleotides) under Hevea brasiliensis (rubber tree). Lineage: Eukaryota; Viridiplantae; Streptophyta; Magnoliopsida; Malpighiales; Euphorbiaceae. The record is from RNAcentral.
AAAUCCAACAAUUUCUGAGAAGAGUUCAUUACAUUUGCACCCUUUCGUUCGAAAAAAAAAAUCACUGUUUUCUGCUUCCUAGUUGUCUUCUUCUAGUCUAUUCUAAUUUCUCGAUGACCUUCAACACUAGAACGUGUGCCUUGAGUUGUUCUUAGGCCUUCACUACUUGAACCGGAAGGAUGGGGGCCAAAUUCACUGGUAGGCCCGCUGCAUUCACUAGAAUUAUGUGCCUGGCUUUCCAGAGCCAUCUUUCUAAAUUUCUUAAGGUCUUCUUUGUACUGAACAGCAUCAAAAUCCGAGCUUCCGUAAGAUUCAUGUAUACCACUAUGUCCAGGUCUAAGUCCAUUUAACUCAUCCAACGGCAAAUUUCCUUCUAAAGCUCUGACAAUCUGACUCAUACGAGGCCUGCGACGUGCUAGAUGGCGCACACACACAGCAGCACAAGUGACCAUUCUGGUCAUUUCAGUCAAGUCAUAAUUCUUGUCCAAUCUUGGAUCAGCCAGAGUAUCAAAGUUGCCAUCAUCCAGAGCCUGGGUAAGCAAAGGCCUCGCCCAAUCAACAAUGUUAUCGUCAAGGUAGGGUUGAGCUUUAUCAAUCGGCCGUCUUCCAGUUAUAAUCUCCAAAAGCAUGACUCCAAAAGAAAAGACAUCAGAUCUGUCUGUAAGUUUGCCAGAGGACGCAUACUCUGGUGCCAUAUAUCCGAAAGUACCCAUAACUCUAGUGGAAACGUGGGUGUUGUUAUCGGAAGCAAACUUUGCAAGCCCAAAAUCUG